Lycium ferocissimum is the source of this 1269-nucleotide long non-coding RNA. RefSeq lists it as uncharacterized. NCBI's taxonomy places the organism in Eukaryota, Viridiplantae, Streptophyta, Magnoliopsida, Solanales, Solanaceae. The transcript is spliced from 2 exons. The record is from RefSeq and is a predicted model, not a curated record.
UUGCAUUGUUGUUAUGUUCUGUUUCCCUUGAUUUUCUUCUUUUUGUUGUUGCAUAUGUGAUGAUGAUUUCACCUCAUCUGUCUCUUUUUGUUGAUUCUCCUGAGUCUGCAGCUCCAUCUCCUAAAUGUCCUUCUCCUUUUGUGACUUUGUUGGAGAGCUUUUAGUUGAUGUCUAUUGCUUACCUUGUGAAAUUGUGAUACUUGAUUUACCAUCUGAUUAACUUCUUCCUCAUCCUCUUUCUCUUAUUCUUUGUUGUUACUGCUACUUCUUUCCACCUUUAUUUUAUUGCAUUGUCUGAUUUUGUUUUAAACACUCCUCUUACUUGGACUGCUUUCUCUGCUCCUUUGUGAUGUUUCUCCUUUGUGUUUACUAUUAAUCAUUCCUUUGCUUUUUCUGUACUUAUCUCCUUGUUAUUGACUUGCUGCUAAUAAUUCUUUGCUCCAUUUUGUGUUCUUUGUUGUUCUGCAGGAUUGGCAUCAUCAUGAUUCCUAGUCUUUUCCUCUUCAGUAUUGCCUAGGAUGUCAACGUAAUAUGUGUCUCUACCUUGUCAUCCUAUUCAUACUCUCAUCUACUUUCCCCAGAAUUAUACCACUUGAAUUCUUUAUGUAUUUGUUCUUUCUUCUUUGCAUUCACUCUUGCUUGGCAUGUACAUUCCCAACUACCUUCCCAUUGGUUAAGGUUCUUCUUUGAUUAACAGUAGUACCAAUCUCAUUAUUGUUAUCAAUCUCCUUACUUUGUUUUCUCAUUUCCUCUAUAUAUUAUUUUUUCAGUCCUGGAUGUAGUGCCCUGUACUCCUUUUCUUCAUGCCCAUGUAAUUUGCAAUGUUUGCAGUACUUAAAAAGGUCUGGUUCUGCUUGCAGUGGCCAAGUCAAUUGUCAAAGGCCUACCCAUAGUUGAUGUCAUUGAGAAGACUGCCUGCCUCCCCUGUAAAGAAAUUUGGAGGCAGAUCUCGGAAGCAUAUCCAUGCUACAGCUACAGAAGUUUCUUCAUCUGGCUUAAAUCAAGGGCUCCCAAUUAAUGGUCCCAUCUGAAAAUACCUAGAUUGAACUUUGAAUAAGCCAGUGUAGAUAACAUUUUAACAUAGUCCUCCUGUAAAGAUAAUCUGACCAAUAUGUGUCUGUCUUCAAUUAAGUCAAUUGUGCAUGAACCUUUAAUGGUACACUGAUCUGGGAUGGCUUUCCGUAACUCCUUUAUAUCAAUUAUUUCAUAAGAAAACUCAUCCAAAAUUGCAUAUUAUAAGUUUUCCUGAAUGAUUAACUGUUUGACCUC